RNAcentral lists this unclassified non-coding RNA (391 nucleotides) under soil metagenome. RNAcentral's name for it is "partial contains 5.8S ribosomal RNA, internal transcribed spacer 2, and large subunit ribosomal RNA". The stretch from base 1 to 122 matches the Rfam family "5.8S ribosomal RNA", at positions 35 to 154 of the family's 154-position model. The record is from RNAcentral.
GAUGAAGAACGUAGCGAAAUGCGAUACUUGGUGUGAAUUGCAGAAUCCCGUGAACCAUCGAGUCUUUGAACGCAAGUUGCGCCCGAAGCCAUUAGGCCGAGGGCACGCCUGCCUGGGCGUCACACGUCGUUGCCCCCCCAUCUACUCCUUCGGGAUUGCGGGGGGCGGAUGAUGGCCUCUCGUGCGCCUCGUCGCGCGGUUGGCCUAAAUGCCAAGUCCUCGGCGACGCACGCCACGACAAUCGGUGGUUGCGAAACCUCGGUUGCCUGCCGUGUGCGGUCGUCGCGCAUCGAGGGCUCGAAAAAAUUGCCGGGCUUCGGCUCGACUUUCAACGCGACCCCAGGUCAGGCGGGGUUACCCGCUGAAUUUAAGCAUAUCAAUAAGCGGAGGA